GAACCAUGCGCUGUCUGUGUGGUUUCACUGUUACAAGUUUCUUGGCGAUAUGGGGGGAAAGUUCCUCACAUACCAACGGAAAAUGGGCUUCACAUACAUGCUGCUGUCUCAUAAUAUGGCGAAGACGAGUCACCUGAAGGCCUAACUCGCCAUAGAAGACUGAAAGAAUUGUCCUGCAGGAUGCUGUGUCCUGCAAUCCUGUGUGCUGUGCUACAGACGCGUGUGGAGGUCAACCCAAAAUGGGCACAGUCUCACCACAGAAGAGUGAAAGAGGAUCCUGGCAGGGAGACGGUAGUGUCCUGCAGAAUGGUGAUGGGCCAAUCUUACAAGAGACCACAGAAAACUGAUAUAGUGAACUAUAGAAACAGAGUGCCUGCUGCAGUAUGGCGAGGACACCCUGAGCAGAGAGCUCCAAUAGACCC
Long non-coding RNA from Engraulis encrasicolus (European anchovy), 422 nucleotides. RefSeq lists it as uncharacterized. The transcript has 5 exons. The record is from RefSeq and is a predicted model, not a curated record. NCBI's taxonomy places the organism in Eukaryota, Metazoa, Chordata, Actinopteri, Clupeiformes, Engraulidae.